CGGCGAGUGAAGCGGCAACAGCUCAAAUUUGAAAUCUGGCGCAAGCCCGAGUUGUAAUUUGUAGAGGAUGCUUCUGGGUAGCGACCGGUCUAAGUUCCUUGGAACAGGACGUCAUAGAGGGUGAGAAUCCCGUAUGUGACCGGCCCGCACCCUUUACGUAGCUCCUUCGACGAGUCGAGUUGUUUGGGAAUGCAGCUCUAAAUGGGAGGUAAAUUUCUUCUAAAGCUAAAUACCGGCCAGAGACCGAUAGCGCACAAGUAGAGUGAUCGAAAGAUGAAAAGUACUUUGGAAAGAGAGUUAAAAAGCACGUGAAAUUGUUGAAAGGGAAGCGCCUGCAAUCAGACUUCGUGGCAGUGUUCCGCCGGUCUUCUGACCGGUUUAUUCUCUGUCGCGAGGCCAUCAUCGUCUCGGCCCGCUGGAUAAGACCUUAGGAAUGUAGCUCACCUUCGGGGGAGUGUUAUAGCCUAUGGUGAUGCAGCGAGGCUGGGGCGAGGUCCGCGCUUCGGCAAGGAUGAUGGCGUAAUGGUUGUCGGCGGCCCGUCUUGAAACACGGACCAAGGAGUCUAACAUCUAUGCGAGUGUUCGGGUGUCAAACCCCUACGCGUAAUGAAAGUGAACGGAGGUGGGAACCGCAAGGUGCACCAUCGACCGAUCCUGAUGUCCUCGGAUGGAUUUGAGUAAGAGCAUAGCUGUUGGGACCCGAAAGAUGGUGAACUAUGCCUGAAUAGGGUGAAGCCAGAGGAAACUCUGGUGGAGGCUCGCAGCGGUUCUGACGUGCAAAUCGAUCGUCAAAUUUGGGUAUAGGGGCGAAAGACUAAUCGAACCAU
This 827-nucleotide ribosomal RNA is filed under the name Sphaerulina sp. RNAcentral's name for it is "partial large subunit ribosomal RNA". It matches the Rfam family "Eukaryotic large subunit ribosomal RNA", at positions 87 to 943 of the family's 3401-position model. Lineage: Eukaryota; Fungi; Ascomycota; Dothideomycetes; Mycosphaerellales; Mycosphaerellaceae. The record is from RNAcentral.